AUACGGAGGGUGCGAGCGUUAAUCGGAAUUACAGGGCGUAAAGCGCGCGUAGGCGGUUUGGUCAGUCAGAUGUGAAAGCCCUGGGCUCAACCUGGGAACUGCAUUUGAUACUGCCAGGCUAGAGUAUGGUAGAGGGAAGUGUAAUUCCGGGUGUAGCGGUGAAAUGCGUAGAUAUCCGGAGGAACACCAGUGGCGAAGGCGACUUCCUGGACCAAUACUGACGCUGAGGUGCGAAAGCGUGGGUAGCAAACAGGAUUAGAAACCCUAGUAGUCC
RNAcentral lists this ribosomal RNA (274 nucleotides) under uncultured bacterium. RNAcentral's name for it is "partial 16S ribosomal RNA". It matches the Rfam family "Bacterial small subunit ribosomal RNA", at positions 523 to 796 of the family's 1533-position model. The record is from RNAcentral.